This 292-nucleotide ribosomal RNA is filed under the name uncultured bacterium. Its description in RNAcentral is "partial 16S ribosomal RNA". It matches the Rfam family "Bacterial small subunit ribosomal RNA", at positions 505 to 796 of the family's 1533-position model. The record is from RNAcentral.
GUGCCAGCCGCCGCGGUAAUACAGAGGUCUCAAGCGUUGUUCGGAUUCAUUGGGCGUAAAGGGUGCGUAGGUGGCGAGGUAAGUCGGAUGUGAAAUCUCCAAGCUCAACUUGGAAACUGCAUUCGAUACUGCUUUGCUAGAGGAUUGUAGAGGGCAUUGGAAUUCACGGUGUAGCAGUGAAAUGCGCAGAUAUCGUGAGGAAGACCAGUGGCGAAGGCGAAUGCCUGGGCAAUUCCUGACACUGAGGCACGAAGGCCAGGGGAGCAAACGGGAUUAGAAACCCGUGUAGUCC